GGACUUGUAGCAUAACGGAUAGUGCACCUGACUACGGAUCAGGAGGUUGGGGGUUCGAAUCCCUCCAAGUUCA
Molecule: transfer RNA, 73 nt
Filed under: Bacteroidales bacterium
Lineage: Bacteria; Pseudomonadati; Bacteroidota; Bacteroidia; Bacteroidales
Description: tRNA-Arg
Rfam family: tRNA
About the family: Transfer RNA (tRNA) molecules are approximately 80 nucleotides in length. Their secondary structure includes four short double-helical elements and three loops (D, anti-codon, and T loops).
Source: RNAcentral